GGGCGGCGCGGGCGUUGCCACGACGCGGGCCGAGCGCGUCCCUGGCAGCCAACCCAUCCACGUCAAGGUUUGUUUAAUAAUCGCCAGGGUAUUUAUGGCCCGGCUGGGGCGGCGGCUAGGGAGCCAGGAGACCGGGCGGGUCGGCCCGGCUUCCCGAAUCGGCCAGGUCCGACCCAAGGGGGAAGAUGGAAACACCUGCCACGCUCUGAGCCCCUGCGGAAGAGAACACCCUUCCCGUCAUAUCAUCCCACCGUCCUGCGGAGGCCACCGCCUGGUCCCCCCAAGUCUCCUUUUCCUAGGGGUCGAGCGGAACAGUGAGCGAUGGCGGAAAACCUGAAGAGACUGGUCUCGAACGAAGCUUUACGAACAUUGCAGGAAAAGGUAGACUGCUGGCUGAAGGAGUACAACACAAACACCUGUGAUCAAAAUCUAAACCACUGCCUUGAACUCAUUGAGCAAGUUGCCAAGGUGCAGGGACAACUCUUUGGGAUCCUCACAACAGCAGCCCAAGAAGGAGGACAUAAUGAUGGCGUGGAAACAAUCAAGUCACGGCUUUUGCCUUGGCUGGAGGCUUCCUUUACAGCUGCUUCCCUGGGAAAACCUGUUGACAGCAAGGUCCCCUCUCUGCAGGACACGUUUGACAGGGAGAGACGUAAAGAUCCCAGUCGUCAGGAUUGGGAUGCACAACAAUUAGAUGCUAAUUUGAACUCAACCUGGAGUCAACUCAGCCAGGUUCAAGACAAUCUGGCUGAAACGGAAAAGAAUCUUGAAGAAACCAAGAACAGAUCGGCCAUAUCCCUUUUGGCUGCAGAGGAGGAAAUAAAUCAGCUAAAAAAGCAGCUUAAAUCUCUUCAAGCCCAGGAGGAGGCUCGCCACAGAAACACAGAUCACAGGAGCUCAGAGAGGAAGCCAGGGGAGCCUCGGAGCUCAGAGCAGCAGAGGUCUGAACAGAGGAGCUCAGUCAAGCGGAACGCAGAGCGGCGGGACACAGAAGCCACAUCCGAUUAUGAGAAACCGCUCCAAAACCUGAAGGAGGAGAGAGCUGUUCUGUCUGCUGAGAAAUCUGGACUCCAGGGAAGGUGCUCCAGGAGCCGGUCUCCUAGCCCUGCCUCUCGCAGCCACAGUGGAUCUGCCAGCCCCUCCACCACUGUCAAGGUCAGGAGUCCGUCCCCAAACCGCUCCAAGCUGUCCAGUGUGGGGCGCAAGGCUGCUCUCUUGUCCCGGUUCAGCGACUCCUAUUCCCAGGCCCGCCUGGAUGCUCAGUGCCUGCUGCGGCGCUGCAUUGACAAGGCUGAGACCGUGCAGCGGAUCAUCUACAUAGCCACAGUGGAGGCAUUCCAUAUAGCAAAAACGGCAUUCAGACAUUUCAAGAUCCGUGUGAGAAAAUCGUUGACACCACCUUACGCGGGGUCAAAUGACUUUGAGAAUGCUGUCUCGGACUAUGUCGUCUGUCACCUUGAUCUCUAUGAUUCCCAAAGCAGUGUCAGUGAUGUGAUCCGAGCCAUGAAUGUCAAUCCCAAGAUUUCCUUCCCUCCUGUCGUUGACUUCUGUCUCCUCAGUGACUUCAUCCAGGAGAUAUGUUGCAUUGCCUUUGCAAUGCAGGCCUUAGAACCACCCCUAGAUAUUGCAUACGGGGCAGAUGGAGAAGUUUUUAAUGAUUGCAAAUACCGCCGCAGCUACGACUCGGAUUUCACUGCUCCCUUAGUUCUGUAUCACGUGUGGCCUGCUCUCAUGGAGAAUGACUGUGUCGUAAUGAAGGGAGAAGCUGUCACCAAGAGAGGGGCUUUUGUACGGUGGCCUUGCGUAGUGACAAUUCAUCCCAAGUGUUUGAUUCACAAUGGAAUUCGGUGCAACCUCUAACUCGAUGUCGAAGCAGGAGUUUAAGUCCCAUUUGCCCCCGUAGCCAUACUGGUUUAAGCACGAUGUCUCGAAGUCGGAGUCCUUCUCCAGUGAGAUGUGGAUUGCCAAGAUUUUAAAACCACCAGACCUGCUCCUUUGCUCCAGGGCGUGGAAACAGCUGCCUCUCCGGUUCCUCCAUCUGCCUGCUGUGUGUGCCUCAGAUCUCACUUAAGAUAAUGUCAAAAGGCAAUUCUGUGUAUCACUCCACACAGAGUUAAAUGUUUUGGCUCAGCGCAUUUGUAACUUUGGAUACAUUGCAUUUUAUUUUAUUUUAUAGAUACAAAUUCCAUUAAUUUCAUAAAAACGGUUGUAUAGGUGUUUAGGAUCAUAUUCAUUUGAAGCAAAGUCCAUUACAAAGGUUCAGGAUUUCCAACUCAAAACACUAGGCUCUUCUAUGGGAACUGGGUGAAGUAACUAGGAAGCAUUUACCAUGUGGAGGCUAAAAGAAAAGAUGAACUAUUUUAGUUUGCAGACGGAUCGUAAAUAUUGUAAUUGUUGGUAUCAGCUUUAGUUUGAAACCAAUAUUAGGUGUUUUAAUUUCCCUUUAAGGUUUGGAAGACAGCCCUAAUCUCAGGUCGGGGAACUCAUGUUAGUAGCAGUGGCUUAGGGCUAAGUGUAGAAGAUCAUUUAAAACAUAUUAUUAGUUGGCUUGCUUUUGAGCCAUUAGCUGGCUGAUUUUGAGAGUGCCGUUUGGUUCAUCUGAGUAAUGAAUGUCCAAGAGAGAAUUCUUUGUUCCGUAAAUGUAGAGCAGUGAUUUGACUAGAAGCCAGCUUUGAGAGAAAUGUUAAUUACCUGAUGCAUAUCUCCCGGGAAUAUUUCAAACUGUUUUAAUGCAUGUGUUAUAUAUCAAAGUUUCUUGGGACACACUCUUCACCUGUUCUACCUAGUUAUUUGCAAAUUCAGACCUCCUGUUGAACUCCAUCUGCCCAAAACUACUUAAACUCAAGGCCUAAAACCAGGGGCAUCAUUUACUGAUUUUAAAUUGAGUAUAUAUCCCUUGACUUCUUCACUGUCAAAUACUUUUGAAAGUUUAUGUUCGAGAUAAGAAUGGAAUGUUGCUUUCUUGAGAUAAGUAAUAUUAUUUCCGCCUUUAUUUCACUUUCAAGCCAGCCUUAAACACAAGCCUUACAAACGUCUGCUUUCUCCAUAUACCUUUGAGAGAGACACUGAAUUGACCUCAGCUGAGUUUUGUAUAAGCUCAGUGCCAGAACAAGCACCUGAUGCUUUUCAGGUGAAAACGAAGUGAACAGCUUCUCUAAACAUCUUAUUCCUGUGCUGGAGUUUUGGGGGCCCUCUCAGUGCCUGCCCCUGAGUCUAAUGGUCACCAACUCAUUUUGAAGUAUGAGUUGAAUUUUUAGCCCUCUUUGCAUAUUUACACAGUCAUCACUUUGAAGCAACGCAGUGUGUUGGGAGGAGCACUAUCUGCCUAGGUAACUGCUGGUGCUGACUCGGUCAUCAGCUUGCCUUGAGCAAGUUACUUCACUUCUCUGAGCCUCAGUUUAAUUGUAGGGUGAGGAGGUUGGAUAAAAUUAGUGGCUCUCCUAACCCUACAGACUCAAUGUUGCCUCUCAUAACAAAUAUUUUAUUCUGAAUAUGAAAUGAAAAUCAAAGUUAAUAUAAUCAUCUAUGUGCACAUAUAAUUUUAAGCAAUGAGCAUAGUACCCUAACUAUAAUAUAAUGUAGAAAAAAAGAAAGCAACUUUUAAUAAAAUAAAAUUUAUUUCAAUAAAAAUGCUUGGGUAUAACCACCCUAGAAGAUAAGAUUAAGCCAUUAGAUGCCUGAACCUGUAUGUAGAGCCAGCAGCUACAAAUGAAGAUCAGUGUACUGGCAACAGAAAAUCACAGUGUUGUCACUGGAUGUGACUUUCUGAAAUGGCGGGCAACUCUUGUUCAUGUUUUGAACAAAAAAAUCUUAUAGUCUUGCCCUGAUUUACACAGUAGUCGCAUUCCUGGAAAAGUCAAGUGUGUAUUAAAAACAUGCAACAGUUACUGUGUGUUAUAUGUUAAAAGGUCUUCACUAAUAUCUCACUAAGUAAUGAAAAUGCCUAUAUAUCAGACUUUUUUUUCAGGAGCCAAGCGCAUAUAGUGAUUUGGAAAAAGGCACAGGUAGCUCAGUUUAUUUGCUUUCUACCCUGCCUGGGUAUACUCUGACGUGAGCUGUAACUACACUGGGAAGGCUAAAUAGUCUCAGAAUUUUUGGAAAGAAUCCACAAAACCAAAGGAGACUGACCUAUCCUCAUUUUAUCUGGGAUGUACCUCACCCUUAGAGACUUUGAAAAAUGAAAAGCUCUUAUUUUGCAAUUUGGGUAAAUGUUAGUUUCUAGAUUUUUGGCUAACAUCUAAUAAUAAAAUUUAAAAAUGUUUUUGUAACUAUCAGUUAUUUGCAAUAAAAUGCUUUCCUUCCACA
RNA transcript from Callithrix jacchus (white-tufted-ear marmoset), 4305 nucleotides. It is a transcript of the gene named spermatogenesis associated 18, with no coding region annotated. The record is from RefSeq and is a predicted model, not a curated record. NCBI's taxonomy places the organism in Eukaryota, Metazoa, Chordata, Mammalia, Primates, Cebidae.